Molecule: ribosomal RNA, 497 nt
Filed under: uncultured bacterium
Lineage: Bacteria
Description: partial 16S ribosomal RNA
Rfam family: Bacterial small subunit ribosomal RNA
Source: RNAcentral
GAUGAACGCUGGCGGCGUGCCUAAUACAUGCAAGUCGAGCGAACAGAUGAGGAGCUUGCUCCUCUGACGUUAGCGGCGGACGGGUGAGUAACACGUGGAUAACCUACCUAUAAGACUGGGAUAACUUCGGGAAACCGGAGCUAAUACCGGAUAAUAUAUUGAACCGCAUGGUUCAAUAGUGAAUGACGGUUUUGCUGUCACUUAUAGAUGGAUCCGCGCCGCAUUAGCUAGUUGGUAAGGUAACGGCUUACCAAGGCGACGAUGCGUAGCCGACCUGAGAGGAUGAUCGGCCACACUGGAACUGAGACACGGUCCAGACUCCUACGGGAGGCAGCAGUAGGGAAUCUUCCGCAAUGGGCGAAAGCCUGACGGAGCAACGCCGCGUGAGUGAUGAAGGUCUUCGGAUCGUAAAGCUCUGUUAUUGGGGAAGAACAAAUGUGUAAGUAACUAUGCACGUCUUGACGGUACCUAAUGAGAAAGCCACGGCUAACUACGUG